RNAcentral lists this ribosomal RNA (376 nucleotides) under uncultured organism. Its description in RNAcentral is "partial 16S ribosomal RNA". It matches the Rfam family "Bacterial small subunit ribosomal RNA", at positions 527 to 896 of the family's 1533-position model. The record is from RNAcentral.
GUAGACCUCAAGCGUUAUCCGGAUUUAUUGGGCGUAAAGAGCUAAAAGGCGGUUUGGAAAGUUGGAUAUAAAAGCCCGGGGCUCAACUCUGGAUCUAUAUCCAAAACUUCUAAACUUGAGAAUGGAAGAGGCAAGCGGAAUGGCUGGUGUAGCAGUAAAAUGCGUUAAUAUCAGCUAGAACACCAACGGCGAAGGCAGCUUGCUGGUACAUUUCUGACGCUAAAUAGCGAAAGCGUGGGUAGCGAAUGGGGAUUAGAUACCCCAGUAGUCCACGCCGUAAACGCUGAGUGCUAGGUAUCGGAGAUUCGACAUCUUCGGUAUCGUUUCCAAGCUAACGCGUUAAGCACUCCGCCUGGGGAGUACGGCCGCAAGGCUA